AGAGUUUGAUCAUGGCUCAGGAUGAACGCUGGCGGCGUGCCUAACACAUGCAAGUCGAGCGAUUCUCUUCAGAGCAGAGCGGCGGACGGGUGAGUAACGCGUGGGUAACCUGCCCUGUACACACGGAUAACAUACCGAAAGGUAUGCUAAUACAGGAUAACAUAUUUUGAUGGCAUCAUCGAAAUAUCAAAGCUCCGGCGGUACAGGAUGGACCCGCGUCUGAUUAGCUAGUUGGUGAGGUAAUGGCUCACCAAGGCGACGAUCAGUAGCCGACCUGAGAGGGUGAUCGGCCACAUUGGAACUGAGACACGGUCCAAACUCCUACGGGAGGCAGCAGUGGGGAAUAUUGCACAAUGGGCGAAAGCCUGAUGCAGCAACGCCGCGUGAGCGAUGAAGGCCUUCGGGUCGUAAAGCUCUGUCCUCAAGGAAGAUAAUGACGGUACUUGAGGAGGAAGCCCCGGCUAACUACGUGCCAGCAGCCGCGGUAAUACGUAGGGGGCUAGCGUUAUCCGGAAUUACUGGGCGUAAAGGGUGCGUAGGUGGUUUUUUAAGUCAGAAGUGAAAGGCUACGGCUCAACCGUAGUAAGCUUUUGAAACUGAGAAACUUGAGUGCAGGAGAGGAGAGUAGAAUUCCUAGUGUAGCGGUGAAAUGCGUAGAUAUUAGGAGGAAUACCAGUUGCGAAGGCGGCUCUCUGGACUGUAACUGACACUGAGGCACGAAAGCGUGGGGAGCAAACAGGAUUAGAUACCCUGGUAGUCCACGCCGUAAACGAUGAGUACUAGGUGUCGGGGGUUACCCCCCUCGGUGCCGCAGCUAACGCAUUAAGUACUCCGCCUGGGAAGUACGCUCGCAAGAGUGAAACUCAAAUGAAUUGACGG
Molecule: ribosomal RNA, 879 nt
Filed under: uncultured bacterium
Lineage: Bacteria
Description: bacterial SSU rRNA
Rfam family: Bacterial small subunit ribosomal RNA
Source: RNAcentral